UACGAAGGGGGCUAGCGUUGCUCGGAAUUACUGGGCGUAAAGGGCGCGUAGGCGGUUCUGUAAGUCAGGCGUGAAAUUCCUGGGCUUAACCUGGGGGCUGCGCUUGAGACUGUGGGACUUGAGGUCAGAAGAGGGUCGUGGAAUUCCCAGUGUAGAGGUGAAAUUCGUAGAUAUUGGGAAGAACACCGGUGGCGAAGGCGGCGACCUGGUCUGAUACUGACGCUGAGGCGCGACAGCGUGGGGAGCAAACAGG
RNAcentral lists this ribosomal RNA (253 nucleotides) under uncultured bacterium. Its description in RNAcentral is "partial 16S ribosomal RNA". It matches the Rfam family "Bacterial small subunit ribosomal RNA", at positions 524 to 776 of the family's 1533-position model. The record is from RNAcentral.